Non-coding RNA from Carassius gibelio (silver crucian carp), 2245 nucleotides. The record is from the annotation of a RefSeq genome assembly. NCBI's taxonomy places the organism in Eukaryota, Metazoa, Chordata, Actinopteri, Cypriniformes, Cyprinidae.
UUUUUUGACUAAACUAUGACAGCAGUAGGGAAGGUGCCUCCAAAUCAGAUACACAUUUUAAAAAUAAUUUGUACCAUAGCUUGUGCCGAAAAUUUGCGCACACUGUCCCACUGUGACAAUGCUUAUCAGGCACACUUUGGAGAUGGAACAAAAUUAACAGUUUUAGAGCCUAAUCGCACAAAAGAACCAGAAGUAGAAAUCCUGAAGCCCUCUGAAAUCGAGACUGGCUGUAAGAAAAGAGUCACUCUUGUGUGUGUGGCCAAAGACUUCUACCCAGACCAUGUGAGCAUAAGAUGGAGCCUUGGAAACAAUGAAUUAAAAAAAGAUAUAGCGACAGACCCAUAUGCCAUCAAAGACAAUGCCACAAAAUUGUUCAGCAUAUCCAGCAGACUUCAAGUCUCUAAAAAAGAUUUCAAACCAAAACACAAUUACACAUGUACAGUGAAAUACUACUAUGAAACAGACAAGUACAUGAACGUAUCCGGCAGUAUCAUUGGAAUUGAAGGUGAUGAAUAUGAGCCAGAAAGCUAUGUGAAUUCAGCACAGUGGAUGAAACUGGCAUACGGUGUGUUCAUCGCUAAGAGUGGACUGUAUGGUCUUGUCGUCUUAGUGUAUGUGAUGAGAAAGGGUUCAGCUGGAAAGUGAAUGACCUGAAGAUGGAUUAUGGAUUAUGGAUUGACGGAAUUACCAAGAAAACUCAUUUACUCUUUGAUUAUAUAACUGAAGAUUCUAUCUAUUUCAUUUCAUUUCUCUCUUUCUGUUCUUUACUGAGUGUGUAUCGCAGUGAAAAUCUGCAGGUACUUUUUUUUUGAUAAUAUAUAUAUAUAUAUAUAUAUAUAUAUAUAUAUAUAUAUAUAUAUAUAUAUAUAUUUCUUAUGUCAUUGCUACUGUACAUACUUACAAUUCGAUAACAAACUACUAUGCCAAUAAAACACACUUAACAGAGCUAAAUAUAACUCAUUGUUUCUCAUAUUAAGAUUUACUGUAUUUUCUUUCCUUUUUUUAUACAUAAAUGCAUAUUACCCACAAAGGAAAUUCUCACUUAUUUUUAUAGGCAUAUUGUUCACCAAUUCAAGACUAAUAGCUAUUUUGAUAGCUUUUAUUUUUUGGUAGAGUAGAUGGCACUUGCUGUUAAAGGUUUCAUUCCCAGGGAGCAUAAAUUCAUUGAAUACCUUGAAUUGCUUUGAAUAAAAGCAUCUGCAAAAGGCCUAAAAGGAAAAGACAAUUUGUAGCCAAUAAAGUUCAUAGGACUGACAAUGGUCUCCCAAUUGCUUUCAAUUAAGUAACAACAUGAUGACAAUGAUGUAACUGGUUGAUUGUAUUCUGUUACCAAUAGCCAAUACACUGUUACUGGUCACUAAAACAUUGUAAUUAGAAAUAAAUCACUUUUUACUUUUUUAGGUGAACUGUUCAUUUGAAUAAACAUGAAUAAAAUCUUUCUUUUGCAAUAUAAAUCUUUGGAUAAAAGCAUAACACUUUCUCCCUCCCUCUCUUUCUCCCAAAAAGUACCUGUUCUGGCAUAUUUAAUAAUUUUAUAUUUUUUAUUUAAUUUAAAUUUAAUAUUUUGUUUGCAAUAUGAUUUCAAAAAUACGUUAUGUAAAAUUAAAAUACCAUGCAUUUGACCACUUUUUAAUUGCUAAAUCUAAGUGCAUAGUUAAUGAUAACCUACACUUAUUGAAUGUCUAGUUGUUUUGAUAUUAACUGAGGAAAUUAGAAGAGCAGCGAGGUUAGUUCUCAGAAAACCUCUGCAUAUGGUAUUUGGUUUGAUAUAUAUUUUAUUAUCCUAUUUUACAGUGUUUUGACUGUUCUUGGGGCCACUGUGUAUAUUUACCUUUUGGUUAGUUUGAAUUACUGUUAAAAUCAUAAUGCACAUUUAAAUACACAAAACCUCCUGUAAUAGCUGCUGCUCAGAAGAGGCCUCUCUGGGUAACAGCUGGGAGGCCACUAUGGCUUUCACGGUCUCAACCAGAAAAGGGGCCCCCAAAAAACAGUGUACCGUUGCCCAUUAUUAGCUGUUAGUUGUUGAGGUUUAGGUAAUGAGGUAAAUCAUCGUGUACUAGCUACGCAAAACUAGAAUUUGGAGAAGGGACCAAACUGACGGUUCUGGGUAAGUCCGAAUUUUAAAACUCUUAAAUUGUACUAGUAGAGAUCAUUCAAUAAAUGUACUCGUAUGAUUUAUGAAAUGCAGUAAGAAUUUCACGUUUUCAAUGCAAAAAAAAAAAAAAAAAAAAAAAAAAAAAUCAAU